This 467-nucleotide ribosomal RNA is filed under the name uncultured bacterium. RNAcentral's name for it is "partial 16S ribosomal RNA". It matches the Rfam family "Bacterial small subunit ribosomal RNA", at positions 28 to 507 of the family's 1533-position model. The record is from RNAcentral.
GAUGAACGCUGGCGGCGUGCUUAACACAUGCAAGUCGAACGGAAAGGCCUCUGCUUGCAGGGGUACUCGAGUGGCGAACGGGUGAGUAACACGUGGGUGAUCUGCCCUGCACUUCGGGAUAAGCCUGGGAAACUGGGUCUAAUACCGGAUAGGACAAUGGUUUGGAUGCUGUUGUGGAAAGUUUUUCGGUGUGGGAUGAGCUCGCGGCCUAUCAGCUUGUUGGUGGGGUAAUGGCCUACCAAGGCGUCGACGGGUAGCCGGCCUGAGAGGGUGUACGGCCACAUUGGGACUGGGAUACGGCCCAGACUCCUACGGGAGGCAGCAGUGGGGAAUAUUGCACAAUGGGCGCACGCCUGAUGCAGCGACGCCGCGUGGGGGAUGACGGCCUUCGGGUUGUAAACUCCUUUCGCUAGGGACGAAGCGUUUUUGUGACGGUACCUGGAGAAGAAGCACCGGCUAACUACGUG